GGAGAUGUACCCAAGUGGCUGAAGGGUCCGCACUCGAAAUGCGGUAGGCGCCUCACAAGCGCGCGGGGGUUCAAAUCCCUCCAUCUCCGCCA
RNAcentral lists this transfer RNA (92 nucleotides) under Oscillibacter sp. RNAcentral describes it as "tRNA-Ser". It matches the Rfam family "tRNA". Rfam says of the family: Transfer RNA (tRNA) molecules are approximately 80 nucleotides in length. Their secondary structure includes four short double-helical elements and three loops (D, anti-codon, and T loops). Further hydrogen bonds mediate the characteristic L-shaped molecular structure. tRNAs have two regions of fundamental functional importance: the anti-codon, which is responsible for specific mRNA codon recognition, and the 3' end, to which the tRNAs corresponding amino acid is attached (by aminoacyl-tRNA synthetases). tRNAs cope with the degeneracy of the genetic code in two manners: having more than one tRNA (with a specific anti-codon) for a particular amino acid; and 'wobble' base-pairing, i.e. permitting non-standard base-pairing at the 3rd anti-codon position. Lineage: Bacteria; Bacillati; Bacillota; Clostridia; Eubacteriales; Oscillospiraceae. The record is from RNAcentral.